This 82-nucleotide transfer RNA is filed under the name Cronartium ribicola 11-2. RNAcentral describes it as "tRNA-Ala (GGC) (tRNA-Ala-GGC-6-1)". It matches the Rfam family "tRNA". From Rfam's summary of the family: Transfer RNA (tRNA) molecules are approximately 80 nucleotides in length. Their secondary structure includes four short double-helical elements and three loops (D, anti-codon, and T loops). Further hydrogen bonds mediate the characteristic L-shaped molecular structure. tRNAs have two regions of fundamental functional importance: the anti-codon, which is responsible for specific mRNA codon recognition, and the 3' end, to which the tRNAs corresponding amino acid is attached (by aminoacyl-tRNA synthetases). tRNAs cope with the degeneracy of the genetic code in two manners: having more than one tRNA (with a specific anti-codon) for a particular amino acid; and 'wobble' base-pairing, i.e. permitting non-standard base-pairing at the 3rd anti-codon position. Lineage: Eukaryota; Fungi; Basidiomycota; Pucciniomycetes; Pucciniales; Coleosporiaceae. The record is from RNAcentral.
GACUGGAUAGCCUAGCAGUAAAGGCCAUUAUUCUGUCUUGGCAUACAUGCUGAGGUCCCAGGCUCAAAUCCUGGUCUAGUCA